CAAGCGACUUUCUUGUGCCCUGCAGCUCGAUGAAGCGCCCUGUUUCAGAGUGUUUUUGGUAAACCANCUUCACUAUCUUCCUGGACAUUAUGGAAAUUCUAGAGAAACUACAGCAACCAAAAAGGGCUUUUGUUCUAGUUUCCUGCAGCCUUCAUGUGACACAAGGAAAUUUCAAGUCCAUAUGCACAAAAUAAAUCAUAAUGCCGUUAUCAUUUCGUCUCCAGUAGCACCUCUUGAUGCCAUUCAGCAAAAGCUGAAACAAGAAGGUUUUAAUGAGAGCAGAAUGGGAGAGGAACCAAGAACUCCAUCAUCUGCAAGUGAAGACCUUCUGGAUGGAUGGCCAGUGAUAGAAGAAACCCAUUCUGUGGAGCUGUAAGCAGCAAUGGAGUGAAGCUAGAUCUUCUCAACCUCUUUCCCCAAAAUAAAGCUUAAAUAUGUUCCA
This 442-nucleotide long non-coding RNA is filed under the name Salvator merianae (Argentine black and white tegu). RNAcentral's name for it is "lncRNA (ENSSMRG00000000333.1)". The record is from RNAcentral. Lineage: Eukaryota; Metazoa; Chordata; Lepidosauria; Squamata; Teiidae.